RNAcentral lists this ribosomal RNA (943 nucleotides) under uncultured archaeon. RNAcentral describes it as "bacterial SSU rRNA". It matches the Rfam family "Archaeal small subunit ribosomal RNA", at positions 1 to 924 of the family's 1478-position model. The record is from RNAcentral.
UUCCGGUUGAUCCUGCCGGAGGGGACCCCUAUCGGGCUCGGACUAAGCCAUGCGAGUCGGCUGGGGGACCUUUCCCCUGGCGGCGCACGGCUCAGUAAUACACGGUCAACCUGCCCUGGGGACCGGGAUAACCUCGGGAAACUGAGGCUAAUCCCGGAUAGGGGUGGAUUCCUGGAAUGGGUCCACCCCCAAAGUAGGCGGGGGAAUGGCCCCGCUGAGGCCCCAGGAUGGGACCGUGGCCUAUCAGGUAGUAGGUGGGGUAACGGCCCACCUAGCCUAAGACGGGUGCGGGCGGUGGGAGCCGGAGCCCGGAGAUGGGCACUGAGACAAGGGCCUAGGCCCUACGGGGCGCAGCAGGCGCGAAACUUCCGCAAUGCGCGCAAGCGUGACGGAGUGAGCCCGAGUGCCGCCCGCUGAGGGCGGCUGUUCCCGGGUGUAAACAGCCCGGGGUAGGAAGGGGAGGGCAAGGCUGGUGCCAGCCGCCGCGGUAAAACCAGCUUCUCGAGGGGUCCCCACGCAUACUGGGCCUAAAGCGUCCGUAGCCGGCCCCGUAAGUCCCCGGUUAAAUCCACCAGAAGACUGGUGGACUGCCGGGGAUACUGCGGGGCUAGGGAGCGGGAGGGGCCGAGGGUAUUCCGGGGGAUAGCGGUAAAAUGCGUAGAUCCCCGGAGGACCACCAGUGGCGAAGGCGCUCGGCUGGAACGCGUCCGACGGUGAGGGACGAAAGCUGGGGGAGCAAACCGGAUUAGAUACCCGGGUAGUCCCAGCCGUAAACGAUGCCGGCUAGGUGCCGGCCGAGGUUUCGGCCUCGGCCGGUGUCGAAGCGAAGGCGUUAAGCCGGCCGCCUGAGGAGUACGGCCGCAAGGCUGAAACUUGAAGGAAUUGACGGGGGGGCACCACAAGGGGUGAACGCCUGCGGCUCAAUUGGAUUCAACGCCGGGAA